UACGUAGGGUGCAAGCGUUAAUCGAAAUUACUGGGCGUAAAGCGAGCGCAGGCGGUUUGUUAAGUCAGAUGUGAAAGCCCCGAGCUCAACUUGGGAAUUGCGUUUGAAACUGGCAGGCUAGAGUGUGUCAGAGGGGGGGUAGAAUUCCACGUGUAGCAGUGAAAUGCGUAGAGAUGUGGAGGAAUACCGAUGGCGAAGGCAGCCCCCUGGGCCUGUACUGACGCUCAUGCACGAAAGCGUGGGGAGCAAACAGG
This 254-nucleotide ribosomal RNA is filed under the name uncultured beta proteobacterium. RNAcentral describes it as "partial 16S ribosomal RNA". It matches the Rfam family "Bacterial small subunit ribosomal RNA", at positions 524 to 776 of the family's 1533-position model. Lineage: Bacteria; Pseudomonadati; Pseudomonadota; Betaproteobacteria. The record is from RNAcentral.